AGGACGAACGCUGGCGGCGUGCUUAACACAUGCAAGUCGAGCGAGAACCGGUCCUUCGGGACCGGGGAAAGCGGCGAACGGGUGAGUAACACGUGGGUAAUCAACCCUCGGUACCGGGAUAGCCCGAGGAAACUCGGAUUAAUACCGGAUGGCCCAACAGCCUUUCGGGGCGGUUGGAAAAGGUAGCUUCGGCCUCCGACCGAGGACGAGCCCGCGGCGGAUUAGCUUGUUGGUGGGGUAACGGCCCACCAAGGCGACGAUCCGUAGCUGGUCUGAGAGGACGAUCAGCCACACUGGGACUGAGACACGGCCCAGACUCCUACGGGAGGCAGCAGUGGGGAAUCUUGCACAAUGGGCGAAAGCCUGAUGCAGCGACGCCGCGUGAGGGAAGAAGGCUUUCGGGUUGUAAACCUCUUUCAGGAGGGACGAAGCUACUCGGGUUAAUAGCCCAGAGGGUGACGGUACCUCCAGAAGAAGCCCCGGCUAACUACGUGCCAGCAGCCGC
Molecule: ribosomal RNA, 505 nt
Filed under: uncultured bacterium
Lineage: Bacteria
Description: SSU rRNA
Rfam family: Bacterial small subunit ribosomal RNA
Source: RNAcentral